GUGAAAUGAUGAUUCAGUUUAUCCAUUCGCUGAGUGUGCUGUCCUGACCUCCUUCCAAGUCUCAGUUCCUGUUCUAGGAAUGUGGGGCCACGCAGCCUCCAAAUGCCCUACAGUCUGCAGUGUUCUACUGUGGGCUGUUUGUGUGUUGGUAGGCUGCUGGCAGGAAUGGUUGGUGUCAGCAGGGAUGGGGCCACUUGGUCCCAUCCCACCAAGAUGAGUGGUGGAAAUCUGAUCAC
This is a small nucleolar RNA of Tupaia belangeri (northern tree shrew), 236 nucleotides long. Ensembl annotates it as small nucleolar RNA, C/D box 17. Its record names the gene SNORD17. The record is from Ensembl. NCBI's taxonomy places the organism in Eukaryota, Metazoa, Chordata, Mammalia, Scandentia, Tupaiidae.